UACGUAGGGCGCAAGCGUUGUCCGGAUUUACUGGGCGUAAAGAGCGCGCAGGCGGUCGUUCAAGUCGAGUGUGAAAGCCCCCGGCUCAACUGGGGAGGGUCACUCGAUACUGAUCGACUUGAAGGCAGGAGAGGGAAGCGGAAUUCCCGGUGUAGUGGUGAAAUGCGUAGAUAUCUGGAGGAACACCGGUGGCGAAGGCGGCAUCCUGGACCGGCAUUGACGCUGAGGCGCGAAAGCCAGGGGAGCAAACGGG
RNAcentral lists this ribosomal RNA (253 nucleotides) under uncultured bacterium. RNAcentral describes it as "partial 16S ribosomal RNA". It matches the Rfam family "Bacterial small subunit ribosomal RNA", at positions 524 to 776 of the family's 1533-position model. The record is from RNAcentral.